AGAGUUUGAUCCUGGCUCAGAAUCAACGCUGGCGGCGUGCCUAACACAUGCAAGUCGAACGAGAAAGUGGAGCAAUCCAUGAGUACAGUGGCGCACGGGUGAGUAACACGUGACUAACCUACCCUUGAGUGGGGGAUAACCUAGAGAAAUCUGGGCUAAUACCGCAUAAUACCUUCGGGUCAAAGGAGCAAUUCGCUUAAGGAGGGGGUCGCGGCCGAUUAGUUAGUUGGCGGGGUNAUGGCCCACCAAGACUAUGAUCGGUAUCCGGCCUGAGAGGGCGCACGGACACACUGGAACUGAAACACGGUCCAGACUCCUACGGGAGGCAGCAGUGGGGAAUUUUGCGCAAUGGGGGAAACCCUGACGCAGCAACGCCGCGUGGAGGAUGAA
Molecule: ribosomal RNA, 390 nt
Filed under: uncultured bacterium
Lineage: Bacteria
Description: bacterial SSU rRNA
Rfam family: Bacterial small subunit ribosomal RNA
Source: RNAcentral